CCCACUACCGUAUUUGGAUGUUGUAUACCUAUGCAAUGUAGAAACCGACUAUACUUUCACUCCUCCUGCUCAGUGAUUAGGUGAUUCAGGGACAACUUUUGAAUCAUACUAGAGUGUGAGCUUCCUUACUCCGGAAGACCCCAUUUCAUUCCAUGGAUUUCUUUAUGUCCUCACUAUUGCUUUAUUUUUUGUUUUUUCAUGGGUCAGAGGCAUGUUCCAAUUAGAUAUACUUUGGUUUUGAUUAGAGGCUUUGUCGGCCUAUU
RNAcentral lists this long non-coding RNA (263 nucleotides) under Capsicum annuum. RNAcentral describes it as "long non-coding RNA (CANN_LNC010137)". Lineage: Eukaryota; Viridiplantae; Streptophyta; Magnoliopsida; Solanales; Solanaceae. The record is from RNAcentral.